AUUGAACGCUGGCGGCAGGCUUAACACAUGCAAGUCGAGCGGAGCGAGGGUGCUUGCACCUUAGCUUAGCGGCGGACGGGUGAGUAAUGCUUAGGAAUCUGCCUAUUAGUGGGGGACAACAUUCCGAAAGGGAUGCUAAUACCGCAUACGCCCUACGGGGGAAAGCAGGGGAUCUUCGGACCUUGCGCUAAUAGAUGAGCCUAAGUCGGAUUAGCUAGUUGGUGGGGUAAAGGCCUACCAAGGCGACGAUCUGUAGCGGGUCUGAGAGGAUGAUCCGCCACACUGGGACUGAGACACGGCCCAGACUCCUACGGGAGGCAGCAGUGGGGAAUAUUGGACAAUGGGGGGAACCCCUGAUCCAGCCAUGCCGCGUGUGUGAAGAAGGCCUUUUGGUUGUAA
RNAcentral lists this ribosomal RNA (399 nucleotides) under Acinetobacter sp. oral taxon C51. RNAcentral describes it as "bacterial SSU rRNA". It matches the Rfam family "Bacterial small subunit ribosomal RNA", at positions 30 to 428 of the family's 1533-position model. Lineage: Bacteria; Pseudomonadati; Pseudomonadota; Gammaproteobacteria; Moraxellales; Moraxellaceae. The record is from RNAcentral.